This is a long non-coding RNA of Cyprinus carpio carpio, 537 nucleotides long. The record is from Ensembl. Lineage: Eukaryota; Metazoa; Chordata; Actinopteri; Cypriniformes; Cyprinidae.
GAGUUCGUUAAAAUACAAGGCAUGCAAAUGACAAAAAUGAUGCAAAAUUUGCUCAUAAAAUUAAAAAUAACCGACUUCCUGUUGGGUUUCGGAUAUUGCUCCAAGAGUCUUUUUUGUAGGUACUGAUGCUUUACAUAUGUGUGCCAAUUUUCGUGCAUGUACGUGAAACACAGCGGGAGGGCUGUUGAUUAUUUUAGGAUAGGUGGCGCUGUCGAGCCAUUUUGCCACACCCUCUUCUGAAACCUAUAUCAGACGUAAAUUUUCACCAGGUCUGACGCGUGUGCAAAGUUUCAGGACUUUUCAAGCAUGUUUAGGCCCUCAAAAAUGCGAUUCAUUUUGGAGAAGAAGAAGAAGAAGAAGAAGAAUAAUAAUAAUAAUAAUAAACAAAGCAGAUACAAUAGGGUCCUCACACCAUCGGUGCUCGGGCCCUAAUAAAUAUAGCUGCAAGCAGCGAUGGCGGGCUCAAGCCAUCAGCGCAAACGCCACCCCGGUGGCAUCAGGUAAACUGUGCCCAGCGGGCACAUGCAUUUACAGUAA